AGCGUACACGGUGGAUGCCCUGGCAGUCAGAGGCGAUGAAGGACGUGCUAAUCUGCGAUAAGCGUCGGUAAGGUGAUAUGAACCGUUAUAACCGGCGAUUUCCGAAUGGGGAAACCCAGUGUGAUUCGUCACACUAUCAUUAACUGAAUCCAUAGGUUAAUGAGGCGAACCGGGGGAACUGAAACAUCUAAGUACCCCGAGGAAAAGAAAUCAACCGAGAUUCCCCCAGUAGCGGCGAGCGAACGGGGAGCAGCCCAGAGCCUGAAUCAGUGUGUGUGUUAGUGGAAGCGUCUGGAAAGGCGCGCGAUACAGGGUGACAGCCCCGUACACAAAAAUGCACAUGCUGUGAGCUCGAUGAGUAGGGCGGGACACGUGGUAUCCUGUCUGAAUAUGGGGGGACCAUCCUCCAAGGCUAAAUACUCCUGACUGACCGAUAGUGAACCAGUACCGUGAGGGAAAGGCGAAAAGAACCCCGGCGAGGGGAGUGAAAAAGAACCUGAAACCGUGUACGUACAAGCAGUGGGAGCACAGAGCAAUCUGUGUGACUGCGUACCUUUUGUAUAAUGGGUCAGCGACUUAUAUUCUGUAGCAAGGUUAACCGAAUAGGGGAGCCGAAGGGAAACCGAGUCUUAACUGGGCGUUAAGUUGCAGGGUAUAGACCCGAAACCCGGUGAUCUAGCCAUGGGCAGGUUGAAGGUUGGGUAACACUAACUGGAGGACCGAACCGACUAAUGUUGAAAAAUUAGCGGAUGACUUGUGGCUGGGGGUGAAAGGCCAAUCAAACCGGGAGAUAGCUGGUUCUCCCCGAAAGCUAUUUAGGUAGCGCCUCGUGAAUUCAUCUCCGGGGGUAGAGCACUGUUUCGGCAAGGGGGUCAUCCCGACUUACCAACCCGAUGCAAACUGCGAAUACCGGAGAAUGUUAUCACGGGAGACACACGGCGGGUGCUAACGUCCGUCGUGAAGAGGGAAACAACCCAGACCGCCAGCUAAGGUCCCAAAGUCAUGGUUAAGUGGGAAACGAUGUGGGAAGGCCCAGACAGCCAGGAUGUUGGCUUAGAAGCAGCCAUCAUUUAAAGAAAGCGUAAUAGCUCACUGGUCGAGUCGGCCUGCGCGGAAGAUGUAACGGGGCUAAACCAUGCACCGAAGCUGCGGCAGCGACGCUGAUGCGUUGUUGGGUAGGGGAGCGUUCUGUAAGCCUGUGAAGGUGUGCUGUGAGGCAUGCUGGAGGUAUCAGAAGUGCGAAUGCUGACAUAAGUAACGAUAAAGCGGGUGAAAAGCCCGCUCGCCGGAAGACCAAGGGUUCCUGUCCAACGUUAAUCGGGGCAGGGUGAGUCGACCCCUAAGGCGAGGCCGAAAGGCGUAGUCGAUGGGAAACAGGUUAAUAUUCCUGUACUUGGUGUUACUGCGAAGGGGGGACGGAGAAGGCUAUGUUGGCCGGGCGACGGUUGUCCCGGUUUAAGCGUGUAGGCUGGUUUUCCAGGCAAAUCCGGAAAAUCAAGGCUGAGGCGUGAUGACGAGGCACUACGGUGCUGAAGCAACAAAUGCCCUGCUUCCAGGAAAAGCCUCUAAGCAUCAGGUAACAUCAAAUCGUACCCCAAACCGACACAGGUGGUCAGGUAGAGAAUACCAAGGCGCUUGAGAGAACUCGGGUGAAGGAACUAGGCAAAAUGGUGCCGUAACUUCGGGAGAAGGCACGCUGAUAUGUAGGUGAAGUCCCUCGCGGAUGGAGCUGAAAUCAGUCGAAGAUACCAGCUGGCUGCAACUGUUUAUUAAAAACACAGCACUGUGCAAACACGAAAGUGGACGUAUACGGUGUGACGCCUGCCCGGUGCCGGAAGGUUAAUUGAUGGGGUCAGCGCAAGCGAAGCUCUUGAUCGAAGCCCCGGUAAACGGCGGCCGUAACUAUAACGGUCCUAAGGUAGCGAAAUUCCUUGUCGGGUAAGUUCCGACCUGCACGAAUGGCGUAAUGAUGGCCAGGCUGUCUCCACCCGAGACUCAGUGAAAUUGAACUCGCUGUGAAGAUGCAGUGUACCCGCGGCAAGACGGAAAGACCCCGUGAACCUUUACUAUAGCUUGACACUGAACAUUGAGCCUUGAUGUGUAGGAUAGGUGGGAGGCUUUGAAGUGUGGACGCCAGUCUGCAUGGAGCCGGCCUUGAAAUACCACCCUUUAAUGUUUGAUGUUCUAACGUUGACCCGUUAUCCGGGUUGCGGACAGUGUCUGGUGGGUAGUUUGACUGGGGCGGUCUCCUCCUAAAGAGUAACGGAGGAGCACGAAGGUUGGCUAAUCCUGGUCGGACAUCAGGAGGUUAGUGCAAUGGCAUAAGCCAGCUUGACUGCGAGCGUGACGGCGCGAGCAGGUGCGAAAGCAGGUCAUAGUGAUCCGGUGGUUCUGAAUGGAAGGGCCAUCGCUCAACGGAUAAAAGGUACUCCGGGGAUAACAGGCUGAUACCGCCCAAGAGUUCAUAUCGACGGCGGUGUUUGGCACCUCGAUGUCGGCUCAUCACAUCCUGGGGCUGAAGUAGGUCCCAAGGGUAUGGCUGUUCGCCAUUUAAAGUGGUACGCGAGCUGGGUUUAGAACGUCGUGAGACAGUUCGGUCCCUAUCUGCCGUGGGCGCUGGAGAACUGAGGGGGGCUGCUCCUAGUACGAGAGGACCGGAGUGGACGCAUCACUGGUGUUCGGGUUGUCAUGCCAAUGGCACUGCCCGGUAGCUAAAUGCGGAAGAGAUAAGUGCUGAAAGCAUCUAAGCACGAAACUUGCCCCGAGAUGAGUUCUCCCUGACUCCUUGA
This 2789-nucleotide ribosomal RNA is filed under the name Escherichia coli. RNAcentral's name for it is "bacterial LSU rRNA". It matches the Rfam family "Bacterial large subunit ribosomal RNA". The record is from RNAcentral. Lineage: Bacteria; Pseudomonadati; Pseudomonadota; Gammaproteobacteria; Enterobacterales; Enterobacteriaceae.